RNAcentral lists this long non-coding RNA (383 nucleotides) under Gallus gallus (chicken). The record is from RNAcentral. Lineage: Eukaryota; Metazoa; Chordata; Aves; Galliformes; Phasianidae.
CCCCUCCCCACACUGAGGUUCCUGUGCUGGGGGGGGCCGCACACACACACGUGCAGUUCCCUCCUCCGCCGCCAGGGGGCGCCGUCGCGAUUGGGGCUGAGCGCCGCGCCGUGGGGGCCGCUCUGCCCCGCUGCGCCUCAGUCGCUGUCCGAACCCACGGCGGAGGAGCCCUUCCGCUUCCGCUUUGUGGGUUUGGGUUUGGUGUCCUCCUCCUCCGAGGCGCUGCUGGACGCCGACUCCUCCUCGUUGUUGGGGGGCUGCGCGGCGCUCUUGCGGCUGCGGGGGCUGGCGAGGGCGGCCUUCCGGCGGCUCUUGGGGGGUUUGCUGGACGAGUCCUCGUAUUCCUCAGCCAGGGAGAAGAGAUCGCUGAACUUCAUCUUAUG